This is a long non-coding RNA of Carassius gibelio (silver crucian carp), 1139 nucleotides long. RefSeq lists it as uncharacterized. The record is from RefSeq and is a predicted model, not a curated record. NCBI's taxonomy places the organism in Eukaryota, Metazoa, Chordata, Actinopteri, Cypriniformes, Cyprinidae. The transcript is spliced from 5 exons.
AACUGCCUCACAACAUCUCUCACACUGAUGUAAGGAAACAUUUAUUGGCAGCAGCGGUUCUCAACUGGUGCAGAUAACAAAGUUAAAGAAACCCAAACGGCCCAGAGGCUGUGGUAGACCACGCUCCUCACAGGUUCAGGAGUUCACAGCGGGGUCUGUAGGAAGAGGAACAGGCCGUCUGCCAGUCCUGGCAUGUGCGGCUCUAAUUGCACAUCAUUGGCAUAAUGGCCAAGAUGAUGUGGCUUUCCUCUGCAUGCACACACAUCACCUGCAGGAAAAUGCCCUUUAGAAUAAACGCAUCCUUUAUGCUGCUAUUUGAAGAUUGCUUUCCUGAGAGAUUCCUUUCCAGCGCAAUUCUCCAGAAAUGUAGCUCCUUCACCCCGUUUACACAUAACAAGAAAUUUCCAUUGCUCAGCGAGGGAUUCACAGCCAGCUAACAUGAGGAAAUGAAAUAUUUAUCAUCAGCGAACACCUACCAGGAACAGAGAGCGGACGGGCAAAGGCUCAUCUCUAGACCCUGUGGCAGUACGUCUCCUCUGGGGCAGAUAGAUGGGCCGUGUUCCUGCUGGGAUCCACUUCCACUUUUGAGUCUGGAUUUCAAAGCCUCCGAUAACUGCAAAGGAAAGGUUCUGAUGUCCCCAGGAAGAAAAAUAGAACGAGACGCAGGGGUCAGCUCAGUGGUUCUGGUGUCGAGUCAAUUACCGUCUUGACCGAACGGAUGAUCAACACCUCACAUCAGCCAGCAUCCAGCUCAUGGGUUCUAGAGCCAUGUGCUGUGACCCAUAUCCAGCCAUGCAUUGCCAAUUUUUUAUUGCAUGCAGGGAUUUAGCAAUUCUAAAACUUUAAUGAUUAUUGUAGUACGUUUGAAGGAGUCAUUGUUCCUAAUUAUAGAUAUAUAGACUAUAUAAAAAAAGUAUAGGGUUGGAAAUUAUCUUGUUUUUGAAUUAAAAAGUAUCUUCUGUAAACAGCAAAAACAGUAAUAUUGUGAAAUAUUAUUACUAUUUAAAAUAACAGUUUUCUGUUUAAAUAUGUUUUAAAAUGUAAUUUAUUCCUGUGAUGUAAUACUGAAUUUUUAGCAUGACUACUCCAGUCUCCAGUGUCACGUGAUCCUUCAGAAAUCAAUUCAAUAUGCUGUUAUU